UUUUUAACUUGCCUGUGUCUUAUGACUUUUCAGAAAUGAAGAGUGUAAACAACUUGUUGCUCACUGGAACACAUGACCCACAACCGGCGCGCGCCCCCUGCCUGAGCCAGAGAUUCAGAAGAUGAGGAUGUUACUUAAACAAAUAGAUAAUGGCCAUAUACUGCCUGAGAUACAGAAGUCAGGAGGAGAGAGGGAGUACCAGUAAGGUCUCACCAAUAUUUAAGAUAUAUCAAUGUCAUUGGAAGUAGUUACAGAGUGCAAGUAGAACAUCUGUGGAUGUGGAACAUAUUCCAAGAAGGAAAUGACGUCUGGGUGCCAUGAGUUAUCUCCAGAGCUGGUGGCUUGGAAAAGCAGAAGAGCGGGGAGUUCAGGAAUACAGUAUUUACACUGGUCAGGCCCCAAAAAGAAGACUGAGACAUAAAACAGUUGCCAGGAUUUGUCCUGAAUUUACGUCUCCACUCUGCGUUGGUAAGCAGAGUUCAUUUUUGUACUAUCUCUCAUCAGUAAAUAAAAACACUUCCAGAACUAAAGUCUGACUGAGCUGUUCU
Molecule: long non-coding RNA, 548 nt
Organism: Mus caroli (Ryukyu mouse)
Lineage: Eukaryota; Metazoa; Chordata; Mammalia; Rodentia; Muridae
Source: RefSeq, a predicted model, not a curated record